GGAAAUAUGGCUCAGUGGUAGAGUACUUGCUUUAGUAUGCAUGAAGCCCUGGGUUCAAUUCCUAGUACUUCAA
RNAcentral lists this transfer RNA (73 nucleotides) under Heterocephalus glaber (naked mole-rat). It matches the Rfam family "tRNA". From Rfam's summary of the family: Transfer RNA (tRNA) molecules are approximately 80 nucleotides in length. Their secondary structure includes four short double-helical elements and three loops (D, anti-codon, and T loops). Lineage: Eukaryota; Metazoa; Chordata; Mammalia; Rodentia; Bathyergidae. The record is from Rfam by way of RNAcentral.